RNAcentral lists this ribosomal RNA (494 nucleotides) under uncultured bacterium. Its description in RNAcentral is "bacterial SSU rRNA". It matches the Rfam family "Bacterial small subunit ribosomal RNA", at positions 34 to 507 of the family's 1533-position model. The record is from RNAcentral.
CGCUGGCGGCGCGCCUAACACAUGCAAGUCGAACGCGAAAGGGGGCAACCCUGAGUAAAGUGGCGCACGGGUGAGUAAUACCUAGGUAAUCUACCUUAUUGACCGGAAUAACCAGUCGAAAGAUUGGCUAAUACUGGAUAGAGCGAUUAAGCGAGAGUUUAGUUGGGAAAGGGUGGCUUGGGCAACCAAGCUAUUGCGAUGAGAUGAGCCUGGGUCCCAUUAGCUAGUUGGUGAGGUAAUGGCUCACCAAGGCGAUGAUGGGUAGCUGGUCUGAGAGGACGAUCAGCCACACUGGAACUGGAACACGGUCCAGACUCCUACGGGAGGCAGCAGUGGGGAAUCUUGCGCAAUGGGCGAAAGCCUGACGCAGCGACGCCGCGUGGGUGAAGAAGGCCUUCGGGUUGUAAAGCCCUGUCGAGUGGGAAAAAUGGCACACUAAAUAAUACGUAGUGUGAUUGAUGGUACCACUAAAGGAAGCACCGGCUAACUCCGUG